RNAcentral lists this ribosomal RNA (591 nucleotides) under Streptomyces carpaticus. Its description in RNAcentral is "bacterial SSU rRNA". It matches the Rfam family "Bacterial small subunit ribosomal RNA", at positions 184 to 789 of the family's 1533-position model. The record is from RNAcentral. Lineage: Bacteria; Bacillati; Actinomycetota; Actinomycetes; Kitasatosporales; Streptomycetaceae.
CGAGGCAUCUUGGGGUGUGGAAAGUUCCGGCGGUGCAGGAUGAGCCCGCGGCCUAUCAGCUUGUUGGUGGGGUAAUGGCCUACCAAGGCGACGACGGGUAGCCGGCCUGAGAGGGUGACCGGCCACACUGGGACUGAGACACGGCCCAGACUCCUACGGGAGGCAGCAGUGGGGAAUAUUGCACAAUGGGCGAAAGCCUGAUGCAGCGACGCCGCGUGAGGGAUGACGGCCUUCGGGUUGUAAACCUCUUUCAGCAGGGAAGAAGCGAAAGUGACGGUACCUGCAGAAGAAGCACCGGCUAACUACGUGCCAGCAGCCGCGGUAAUACGUAGGGUGCGAGCGUUGUCCGGAAUUAUUGGGCGUAAAGAGCUCGUAGGCGGUUUGUCGCGUCGAUUGUGAAAGCCCGGGGCUUAACCCUGGGUCUGCAGUCGAUACGGGCAGGCUAGAGUUCGGCAGGGGAGACUGGAAUUCCUGGUGUAGCGGUGAAAUGCGCAGAUAUCAGGAGGAACACCGGUGGCGAAGGCGGGUCUCUGGGCCGAUACUGACGCUGAGGAGCGAAAGCGUGGGGAGCGAACAGGAUUAGAUACCCUG